This 211-nucleotide ribosomal RNA is filed under the name uncultured Lactobacillus sp. RNAcentral describes it as "partial 16S ribosomal RNA". It matches the Rfam family "Bacterial small subunit ribosomal RNA", at positions 151 to 355 of the family's 1533-position model. Lineage: Bacteria; Bacillati; Bacillota; Bacilli; Lactobacillales; Lactobacillaceae. The record is from RNAcentral.
UGGAAACAGAUGCUAAUACCGGAUAACAACAGAUGAUGCCUAUCAACUGUUUAAAAGAUGGUUCUGCUAUCACUCUUGGAUGGACCUGCGGUGCAUUAGCUAGUUGGUAGGGUAACGGCCUACCAAGGCGAUGAUGCAUAGCCGAGUUGAGAGACUGAUCGGCCACAUUGGGACUGAGACACGGCCCAAACUCCUACGGGAGGCAGCAGUU